CCUACGGGAGGCAGCAGUGAGGAAUAUUGGUCAAUGGGCGCGAGCCUGAACCAGCCAAGUCGCGUGAGGGAUGACGGCCCUACGGGUUGUAAACCUCUUUUGCCGGGGAGCAACGGGCGCCACGUGUGGCGCCACUGAGAGUACCCGGAGAAAAAGCAUCGGCUAACUCCGUGCCAGCAGCCGCGGUAAUACGGAGGAUGCGAGCGUUAUCCGGAUUUAUUGGGUUUAAAGGGUGCGUAGGCGGAUCGUUAAGUCAGUGGUCAAAUUGAGGGGCUCAACCCCUUCCCGCCAUUGAAACUGGCGUUCUUGAGUGGGCGAGAAGUAUGCGGAAUGCGUGGUGUAGCGGUGAAAUGCAUAGAUAUCACGCAGAACUCCGAUUGCGAAGGCAGCAUACCGGCGCCCAACUGACGCUGAAGCUCGAAAGUGUGGGUAUCAAACAGGAUUAGAUACCCCAGUAGUC
This 460-nucleotide ribosomal RNA is filed under the name uncultured bacterium. Its description in RNAcentral is "partial 16S ribosomal RNA". It matches the Rfam family "Bacterial small subunit ribosomal RNA", at positions 338 to 795 of the family's 1533-position model. The record is from RNAcentral.